Molecule: ribosomal RNA, 422 nt
Filed under: uncultured prokaryote
Description: bacterial SSU rRNA
Rfam family: Bacterial small subunit ribosomal RNA
Source: RNAcentral
UGAGGAAUAUUGGUCAAUGGGCGAGAGCCUGAACCAGCCAUCCCGCGUGCAGGAAGACGGCCCUAUGGGUUGUAAACUGCUUUUGCGUAUGAAGAAUGUUACCGACGUGUCGGUAAGUGACGGUAAUGCGUGAAUAAGCAUCGGCUAACUCCGUGCCAGCAGCCGCGGUAAUACGGAGGAUGCAAGCGUUAUCCGGAUUUAUUGGGUUUAAAGGGUGCGUAGGCGGCCUUGUAAGUCAGUGGUGAAAACCUGCAGCUCAACUGUAGGCGUGCCAAGGAAACUGGGAGGCUUGAGUGACGUUGAGGCAGGCGGAAUGUGUAGUGUAGCGGUGAAAUGCGUAGAUAUUACACAGAACACCGAUGGCGUAGGCAGCUUGCUAAAGGUUAACUGACGCUGAUGCACGAAAGCGUGGGGAUCGAACA